UUAUCAACACACUUUAUAAAAUCUUUGUAUUUUUUUUUCUUUUUUUAUUCUUUAUGUUAAAAAAUAUUAUUCAAUAACUACUAUUAUUGCUUUGGUAUAUACUGUUUUGUCCAUAUUUAUUUGCAUUUUCGAUCAAUAAAUUCAUGUCAGGUACGACCACUCUUUAAUUUAACUUCUUUGGAGCUAAAGUCAUUACCAGAAUUGAAGUGGAUAUGGAAAGGGCCCACCCAUCUUGUUAACCUCCAAAGUCUUAAGACUAUGAUAAUAUGGGGGUGUGAGCAACUGGCAUAUCUCUUUUCGACUCCCCUUGCUCGAAGUUUGGAGCAUCUGGAAGUACUCGUAGUAAGCUAUUGCGAUUCUUUGGAACAUGUAAUCUUCGAUGAAGCAGAAAAGGAGGAUCAAAUAGUUUCAAACAUGAAUGGCUAUCCUCUCCGCUGGCCUAAGUUGAGAACUCUCAAGAUAAUUAAUUGCGGAAGAUUGAAAUAUGUGUUUCCAAUCACUUUGGCUCAAGGACUUCCUUAUUUGGUAUCUGUUGAGAUAACUGGUUGUGCGAAACUGGCAUAUCUCUUUUCGACUCCCCUUGCUCAAAGUUUGGAGCAUCUGGAAGUGCUCGAAAUAAGCCAUUGCGAUUCUUUGGAACAUGUAAUCUUCGAUGAAGCAGAAAAUGAGGAUCAAAUAGUUUCAAACAUGGAUGGCUAUCCUCUCCGCUGGCCUAAGUUGAGAACUCUCAAGAUAAUUAAUUGCGGAAGAUUGAAAUAUGUGUUUCCAAUCACUUUGGCUCAAGGACUUCCUUAUUUGGAAUCUGUUGAGAUAACUGAUUGUUCUCAACUAAAGCAGGUCUUCAAUAUGACAGAGGACAAGGGUGGGCGUCCACUACAAGACAUUGUGCUACAGAGAUUGCAAAUUUUAAGGCUUAAAAAUUUAGAGAAGUUGAGUAGUUUUUGUCCAGAAAAUUUUGUCAUGUCAUUAUCUUUGAAGGCGUUCGAAGUUUGCAAUUGUCCCCAAUUAACUGAGUUUAAGACGUUGCAAGCCCAUUUAAAGGUACUUCUAUUAUACUAUAUUUUUGUUUAUUUUGGUAAUAAUUAAUUGAAUUAUUUAUCUUAUAACAUGACGUCAAAAUUUAGUACAUUCACAUCUACGUGUAAAGGUAUUAUAUAGUAUUAUAUAUAAUUAGCUUUUGUUGAUGUUUAAAAGAAAAAAGUUUAAUUCAACGUAUACUUAUUACAUAGCUUGGAGGUUGAGAAAACUAACACUGUAUCUUUUUUUCUAUUUAUUAACACACAUUACAAAAUCUUUUUAUUUUUUCUCUUUUUUUUUUCUUUAUAUAAUAAAAUAUUAUUCAAUAACAACUAUUAUUGAAUUUAUAAAGCUCUUAUAUCGUACGAUUUGAUAAAGGGUAAAAAGGGAUAAAUAAAAAUAAUAAAAAAAAAAGAAAUAGGGGGGAGAAAGAGAAAAAAAAAAAAGAAAAUGUAGUUAGAGAAAGAAAAAAAAGGGAAAAAAGAAAAGAAAAGAAGAAAAGGGAAAAUGAAAUUAUUUAAAAAGUUUAAAAUUUUAUAAUCUAUUAGUAUUAAAAAUUAAAUUAAUAAAAUUAUAAUUAUAUUGAUUUUUUUCGUACAUAAUUUUAAUCUUGUUUAUAAAUUUGUUUUAUUUUAAUUUUACACACACCAUUAAUUACACUGUAAUUAUAUUCAAUUUAUAUUCAUAAAUUUAUGGAUAAAAAAUAUAUAAAAAUAUAUUUUAUUGUAGGGUCUUACCAUACCCAUGUACUCUAUUUUUAUAAUUGUUGUGUUGCUGUGUUUAUAUCAUGUCUUAACUAUAUUAUUUGUCACUAUGCAUGCUUUCUAGGUUCUAGUUAUACUCAAUUUGGAUUGUUAAAAUUUCUACAAUAAUGAAUUUUUAAUGAAAAGCGAGAGAUAAAAAUAUCUUUUAACUAAAAUCUUUCUUUUUCCUAAUAAAAGAAAUCCAAUUAUAUGUUUCUAAUUCUGCUAAUAGUUUCCAUUAUAUUGUGAAUUUAUCAGGAUGUCCCAUCAUAUGGUUUCAAGGAAUUGUUAUGCAAUGUCAAAGAACUUACCAUGGAUGGAUUCAUGUAUCACAAUUUGAAGCAUCUCUUCUCACCCAUCACCUUGUUCAAGCUUGGUAAUGCUGAAACACUGAAGAUAGAACGCUGCGAUGAACUGGAACACAUUGCCACUGAGUUGGAAAUUGAUAAUAUCGUAAGAACCAGACAGUGGCCUUCUCCAUCAUCGCGCCCUUGCCAAAAUUUGAACCAUCCUCUUGAAAUAGAUGGGCAUAUUAGGUUUCUUACAGAAAGUUCAAAGAUUUGACCAUUGCAGAUUGUAAGCGGGUUGAAAGUGGUAUUUGAAAUGGAUGGGCUUCUUCGAAAAGGAAGAAAUUAGUCCAGGACGCCGCUACUCUCAAAUUUAAAAGUUUGAAUCUAUUUCUUUACCAGAAUUGGGAGAGUAAAUGGAAAUCACAUCAAUCCAUCAAUAUCAUGCCAGCCUCGCGAAAGUCCUGAAGGUUGUAAACAUUUCGUGGUGUGAUGAAUUGAAAGCGAUCUUCCCGCCUUGCCUUGCACAAAGUUUGUUGCAUCUACAAGAACUCUCCAUAUAUGACUGUAAUGGAUUAGAGCAAAUCAUUGAUUUUCCCCAAGAAAUGGGUGAGCUUCAGGUACUUGUUCUCUUUCCAUUUCUCCUUUAAUGAAUAAUGAGAAAUUACUAAACUUUAUAUAUUGAUCAUAUAAUUAAUCUCUGUUGAAGUUUAAAAGAAAUAAAGUUUAACUAAAUUAUAUUAGUAACUAAACUAAAUCUACACUUAUUACAUGGCUUGCAAGUUAAGAAAGCUAAUACUAUAUACUUUUUCUCUCUUUAUCAACACACUUUAUAAAAUCUUUGUAUUUUUUUCUCUUUUUAUAUUCUUUAUGUUAAAAAAUAUUAUUCAAUAACUACUAUUAUUGCUUUGGUAUAUACUGUUUUGUCCAUAUUUAUUUGCAUUUUCGAUCAAUAAAUUCAUGUCAGGUACGACCACUCUCUAAUUUAACUUCUUUGGAGCUAAAGUCAUUACCAGAAUUGAAGUGGAUAUGGAAAGGGCCCACCCAUCUUGUUAACCUCCAAAGUCUUAAGACUAUGAUAAUAUGGGGGUGUAAGCAACUGGCAUAUCUCUUUUCGACUCCCCUUGCUCGAAGUUUGGAGCAUCUGGAAGUACUC
This 3203-nucleotide long non-coding RNA is filed under the name Durio zibethinus. RNAcentral's name for it is "long non-coding RNA (DZIB_LNC002166)". The record is from RNAcentral. Lineage: Eukaryota; Viridiplantae; Streptophyta; Magnoliopsida; Malvales; Malvaceae.